UACAUAGGGUGCAAGCGUUGUCCGGAAUUAUUGGGCGUAAAGAGCUCGUAGGUUGUUUGUCGCGUCGAUUGUGAAAAUCUGAGGCUCAACCUCAGACCUGCAGUCGAUACGGGCAGACUAGAGUGUGGUAGGGGAGACUGGAAUUCCUGGUGUAGCGGUGGAAUGCGCAGAUAUCAGGAGGAACACCAAUGGCGAAGGCAGGUCUCUGGGCCAUAACUGACACUGAGGAGCGAAAGUGCGGGGAGCGAACAGGAUUAGAUACCCUGGUAGUCCGCACCGUAAACGGUGGGCACUAGUUGUGGGAACCUUCCACGGUUUCCGCGACGCAGCAAACGCAUUAAGUGCCCCGCCUGGGGAGUACGAUCGCAAGAUUAAAACUCAAAGGAAUUGACGGGGCCCCGCACAAGCAGCGGAGCAUGCGGCUUAAUUCGACGCAACGCGAAGAACCUUACCAAGGCUUGACAUAUAGCGAAAAGUGGCAGAGAUGUCAUGUCCGCAAGGGCGCUAUACAGGUGGUGCAUGGUUGUCGUCAGCUCGUGUCGUGAGAUGUUGGGUUAAGUCCCGCAACGAGCGCAACCCUCGUUCUGUGUUACCAGCAUUCGGUUGGGGACUCACAGGAGACUGCCGGGGUCAACUCGGAGGAAGGUGGGGAUGACGUCAAAUCAUCAUGCCCCUUAUGUCUUGGGCUGCACGCAUGCUACAAUGGCCGGUACAAAGUGCUGCGAGAUCGUAAGAUUGAGCGAAUCACAUAAAGCCGGUCUCAGUUCGGAUUGAGGUCUGCAACUCGACCUCAUGAAGUCGGAGUUGCUAGUAAUCGUAGAUCAGCAACGCUACGGUGAAUACGUUCCCGGGGCU
Molecule: ribosomal RNA, 855 nt
Filed under: uncultured bacterium
Lineage: Bacteria
Description: bacterial SSU rRNA
Rfam family: Bacterial small subunit ribosomal RNA
Source: RNAcentral